RNAcentral lists this ribosomal RNA (769 nucleotides) under Thracia phaseolina. Its description in RNAcentral is "eukaryotic LSU rRNA". It matches the Rfam family "Eukaryotic large subunit ribosomal RNA", at positions 78 to 608 of the family's 3401-position model. Lineage: Eukaryota; Metazoa; Mollusca; Bivalvia; Thraciidae. The record is from RNAcentral.
CUUCAGUAACGGCGAGUGAAGAAGGAAGGCCCAGCGCCGAAUCUCCACGGCGGAGACGCUGUCGAGAAAUGUGGCGUAUAGGAAGGCGAACUGUGGCCGCGCUCCGGCGCCCAAGUCCUCCUGAUCGUGGCCCACCCACAGCGGGUGUUAGGCCCUUACAGGCGCUCGGACGUGGUCGCUUUCGAUACUUCCUCGGAGUCGGGUUGCUUGGGAAUGCAGCCCGAAGCGGGUGGUAAACUCCAUCUAAGGCUGAAUACGAACACGAGUCCGAUAGCGAACAAGUACCGUGAGGGAAAGUUGAAAAGCACUUUGAAGAGAGAGUUCAAGAGUACGUGAAACCGCCUAGAGUCAAACGGGUGGAUCCGCAAAGUCGGCUUGGGGAAUUCAGCCGGCCCCGAACCCAGGCGCCGCGGGGGUGUCCGCUCGGAUUCCGCAAGGAACCGCGGCCUCUCGUUCCAGGGCAAGCGCGCCUCGGUGGCUGGUGCACUUUCUCCGAGCCGAGCGCCACGACCGGUUCCCCGUGCAGUCAGACGACGAGGAGACAGGUAGCCGUCGGCUUGCGUUCGCGCUUGUCAGCGGUGUUAAAGUCUUCUCUGCUCCGACCUGCCGGUGGGACCGAGGAAAUAGUCUCUAGAGCCGCGCCAACCGCCUUCGGGCCAUCAGCGGGCGUUCGACCUCGGCAUCUCGCGCCGUUAGACCCUCGGGUCGACACGGUGUUGUCGUAACUGCGCUCCGUUCGAAGGGCUCGUCUGGCGGAGUGGCCGCGUUU